GGAAGAGACCAUAGACUCAACAGGAGGGGGAGUCCUGGGUAGCGCGCCGGUCUAAAUCGUUACUUGGCGGAAAGUUCCCAUGAGUCUUUGCCAGCGUCCCCCUCCUUUUGUGAGGAUUGGGAUAUUCCGACUCCUUAAGGGCCUGGCGCACAUAAGGGCCACAUCUGCCAGAGCCUGGAGUCUGCGAAGGCCGGGACCCGGUUCCCCGGCCCACAGUGGGGGUGUGCAAACCCGAGAGAACUGGUCGCUGAAACCUCUACAACUUAGUUGACCGUAACUGCCAGAGCCCUGCCCUGAAUUCCUGUCCUUACUCCCUCUUUAAGAUUGCGUACCCACUGCAGAGUGCUGAAGACGGGGUAGCCACGAGGUGAGAGGCUCUCUGGUGUAGGGUUUAACAUGGAACGUAGUUUUGUCACUUGAAUGCACGGAAAUUGGCGUUUUGACAGUUUUCUACGUUUAGGUGUUUUAUACACUUUAGGGUAACGUUAUCAUGUCAUUGCAUAGGGUGGAACUUAAAUAGAAACUGGAGAUGGCUGCUUCAGCCACAGUCCUAACCUAGAACUGCAUUUAAAGCAAACUGAUAAUGCAGAAACAAACUCCUUCGUUAAGAAAUGUCUCCAGUAGCAGGGUUAGCUUAAGUUUCAGGUAGGGUCUAGAUCUGCGGUUGGAACAGUACUGGAGGGUUGUGAGGUGCUUGACUGCUCUGAUGAAAUCACUAAUAGGAAGUGCCGUCAGAAGCGAUAACUGACGAAGACUACUCCUGUCUGAUUGCAGUCAAGUCUUCACCACUUGCUGGUUCCCAGGAGUAAACUUGUUUGAACGGUGACCUAAUUGCUAUAUUCACCUAGGUUGCAAAUUCGUGAAGAAUCAGCAUCAUGUUUGGCAGCUGAGUAUUGGAGCCAGGAGCCUGCCAUGAGGUUUUGAGAACAGAGUGCUGUUUUAGAGCUGGCAGCAGCAUCUCAGCCCAAGAGAAGGUUAUAUUCCCAGAGGAUGUCAGUCCCAAGGACCAGUAGCUGCCAUCAGUUUGGAUUCUGAAAACUAACUGGCAUCAACACUGGGUGUAGAAACAUGCUUGCCUUAUGUAUCAGAGGACAUGCUCAGCAGAUCCAAGAGAUAUAUUUGGCAACUUUUUCUAGAAAAGGCACAUUGGGUAUCAUUCAUUACAUUCUUGAGUUUUUUUGGGUUUUUUUUUUUUUUUUUGAGACAGUCUUGCUGUAUUGCCCAGGCUGGAGUGUGGUGGCACAAUCACAGCUCAUUGCAUCCUCAAUCACCCAGGCCUAAGCAAUCCUCCCACCUUGUAGCUGGGACUACAGCUCACAGCACACCUGGCUAAAAUUUUUUUUUUGUUGAGACGGAUUCUCUAUGUUGCCCAGGCUGGUCUCAGGCUCCUGGGCUCAGAUGGUCCUCCUGCCUCAGCUUCCAAAGGCACAGGCCAAGUUGUAGCUUUGUCCCUUGCCAUCAUGCCCAACAAGAGGUUCUAUACCUUUUAAUGAAUUGACUUUCAUAAAUUGGUUAUGUUGGUGGGCAAAGUUCUUUAAGCUGGAAAUUGUAAAUUCCUCCUGAAAUGUUUUUUCAUGCAGUUACCAUGAACUAAUACUACAAUAAAGGAUGGUCUUGGGUGUCAAUUCUUGAAAAUGUGUAUUUGAAGAAAAAGUAAAUUUCGCCUACUGUUGUCAGAUAUUAGCAGUCCAGAUAUUCGCUCUAGCUUGUAAACUUCCCUGUGGUCAGCCUAAGCUCUUAACCCCCUAUUCUACAGCUUUAGACUGAAGGCAAAAGCUCAAAGCAUUUAAGGCCUCCUCAAUUUCGGCCCCUGCUGCUCUGUGCUCUGUUCCUUGGUGUAGCUUUGUUCCAGCUCCUGCAGCAUUGCACCAUUCCUAACCACAACCUUAACAGCAUGUAGGGCCCCAUACUCUAGGCCCCAUCUUGCUGUCUUCCUGUGUUGGAAUCUUGCCUACCAAGGCCUGUCAAGAGGGUCCUCCCCCAUACUGUUUGCCCACAAGGUUCAAGAGUGAUUGGCUCCCAGUCUUCCUGGACUGAACUACUUGGAUCUAGGGGUUGCCUGUUAUUUAGAAGAGAUCCCUUAACUGGUAGGGCCCUUUCAGUAGGACAGUAUUUGGGUAAGGGGAGGGUAUAAGAUGAGAACCUUUGCUAAGUUAGGUUCCUUUGGGAGCCUCCAGUUUGUUUCUCCCUCUCCCCAGCCAUCUUGUUGGAUCUGCCAAGGGAUUGGACUCCUUCAUUGUCCUAGGUUUUUAAGGUUUUAAAGCCCACCUUCUGCAGUCGGUUUUCUGGAAUGUGUUGGUGGAUUACUUAAGAGUUAUGGGGAAAGAGUUCUUACGGCCUGUCUAGGUCAGUGAAGUCAUACUGGCAAGUGACAAGAAGGAAGCCAGGUUUGUCACUUACCCUGCAUGCUAAGGACAUCAGAGCCCACAUAGAAGUCUGGUAGUUUUUCAGCCAGCAGUGGGUAGGGAAGGUGGAUAGGGGAUUUCUGAACAGGACUUUAUGCCUGUAUGCAUGGGCACCAUGUCUGUCCUGAGCACUACCACAUGGCAUCGUAGGCUGCUCUGUCAAAGGAUAUAGCGAUAGCUGGUCCUAUGGGCAGAUGCCUAGAAUCAAGGUGGGCCUCAGAAAUAGGGCUGGGUCUCCAUAAGGAGGUAGGCCACGUUCAGUCCACCCCUAGCAUAGAUGGAACUGGGGUCUCGGGCAACCAGGAGUUACAGGAAUUUUGCUAAAGAUUCCCACCUUCCUUGAGUGGGGACACAUUCCUCUGGUUGGAGCUUGUUCCCCUAAAUGAAAAAUGUAAUGCAGUACAUGUAGGGGCCCUACUGUAUUCUUUUUCUGGGGGAAAGCUCUUGGUGUUCACAAUGGCUCAGGCUUACAGUACCUCCAGCCAUGUGCCCAUUUCCACAAGUCUUUGGGGAAGGCCAUGAGCUGAGCUGAGAGGGUUCUCUGGGGCCUGGGAUGACUUAAGAACCAAAUGGCAGAUAAUGGGAUAGGGGGCAGAUGCAGAGGACCAACGGGAAGUUUUAACACAAAUCCCCUUCCCCAGAUGAUAUGGUUUGCCUUUCUGUAGGUGGGUGGCCCAGGCCAAUUUUUGGCAAUAUCCUUAACCCACCUGAUAGGAGAAGCGCCCUCCCCUGCCUGCCUUGCCCAUUCUACCCAACAAGGACUCCCUGGUGAGGCCCUUCACUUCCAUGUCACGUCUGAGCUGCAGCUACAGUCUCCUUGCCCUCAUGGUGGUCUUCGGCAGGUGCCACAGGGCCCCCUCCAGGGUCCUCCUGGCCUACUGUCCCUUCCCGGACCUCCUCCCCACUGCCUGGGCCCUCACCCAGCUCCAGGAUGGUGGGUAGGUGGCCCUGCUUUGGGGAGCGCUUGCGCAGGCUGAGCAGGAAGGGCUGGGGCAAGGAGAAGAUGUCCACGUUGUUGCCCAGGUCAAUCCACGUGACAUUGGGGAACUUGCUGGGAUCCUUAAGGAUGUCAGUGAGGUCGCGCAGCACGGCCCGGGUCAACCGGUUGCCAUUGAGUGCCAGUGUGGUGAGGCGGGGCAGGGUGCUGAGUGCUGGCAGCAGCUGCAGGACCAUGUCGUCCGUGAGGCCUGUGAAGCCCAGCUCCACGCUGUCUACCUGCUCCCCACAGCGCUGUAGGUAGCUGGUCACCCGCUCCAGGUCUCGGGAGGUCAGUGGGAUUCCCGACAGGUCCACUGUGUUGUCUGGGGGGCUUCCGGCCAGGACAGCCUUGAGGCUGAAGGGAAAAAGGACAAACAAGGCUCAGGCACAUAGGGCAGGCCUUUCCCCCAGAAGCUGCAGUGCCAGCCUCUGCUCGGCUCUCCGACGCUAGGGACUGCUUUUACGAAACACUUGGAUGUCGGAUGCCACAAGUGCAGAGGUGGGAGCAACCAGGGACCUCAGUCCCCUGACACUGCCGCACGUCUCAGCUGUCAGGGCCCAGCUGGCCGUAGCCUGAGGUAUGUGGCUGCCCCUAUUUACCAGAAAAAUUGAGUUAAGAGUACCAUUGGGCUGAUAUAUGGAAGAAGUUCAUAAGUGCAAAAUGGUGCCUUGUAUAGUAGGCGAGUGAGGAAUAAACAUUUGCUGCUGUAUUCAUCACCUGGACUCAGCUUCCCACUUCUACCACCCUGGGGUGGCAGCUCAGCCCCCAUGAAUGGCACAAAGGAUCUCUGAGUCCCCUCUUUCAAGACCAUCUUCCCCACCAGAGAAGGAUUCCCUAUGGGGAGCCUGUAAGACAGCAGGCAGGGCAGGGCUCAGGGGCUCUGAGCCUGGUGGCAGCUGCUGACUCCUGGAGGCUGAGUGCCUUGCUCCUUGCUUCUGCUUGUUCUUGGGACAGAGCCCAGGCAGUUCAAGCUGAUGGCAAGUGUGCCCUUCCCUGCACACCCCCCACCCCACCCCCGCCAUCUGUUUGCUGGCUCCAAGGCCCAGGUGCAGUGGUGAGAUGUUCAUUUUCCACAUUUUUUUUUUUUUUUGGAGACAGUCUCGCUCUGUCACCCAGGCUGGAGUACAAUGGCACGAUCUUGGUUCACUGCACCCUCUGCCUCCCGGGCUCAAGUGAUUCUCCUGCCUCAGCUUCCUGAGUAGCUGGGAUUACAGGCGUCUGCCACCACGCCUGGCUAAUUUUUGUAUUUUUAGUAGAGACGGGGUUUCACCAUGUUGGCCAGACUGGUCUGGAACUCCUGACCUCAGGUAAUCCACCCAUCUCGGCCUCCCAAAGCAUUGGGAUUACAGGCAUGAGCCAACACGCCUGGCCAUUUUCUGCAUUUUUUUUUUUUUUUUUUUUUUUUUUUGAGACAGUCUUGUUCUGUCACCCAGGCUGGAGUGCAGUGGCGCCAUUUCUGCUCACUGCAAUCUCCACCUCCUGGGUUCAAGCGAUUCUCCUGCCUCAGCCUCCCGAGUAGCUGGGACUACAGGUGUGUGCCCCCACGCCUGGCUAAUUUUUUGUAUUUUUAGUAGAGAUGGGGUUUCACUGUGUUGGCCAGGAUGGUCUCGAUCUCCUGACCUCAUGAUCAGCCCACCUCAGCCUCCCAAAGUGCUGGGAUCACAGGUGUGAGCCACCGUGCCCGGCCCCAUUUUCCGCAUUUCUAAGUGUGCUGGGAAGGAGAGGGAGGUGGAGGGGGCUCCCAGCCUGCUCCAAGAGCAUAUGCUACUGUCAACAGCUCAAAGGUCAUGGCUUGUACUUCCUGGCAACACAGGGUACAUUUGUCCUUGAGAUCUAAGCUGGGAGGCUGUCCACAGUUUGUUCAUUUUGACUCUGACUGGGGUCCAGCCCCAGGGAGUUGGAAAGUAAAACUCUCAAGGCGUGACAUUUAAAUGCUUGGAAUGCUGCCAGCCAUCUGUGCAGCUUGAUUUAACUUUGGUGCUAUUAUCAAUGUCAUUAAUAAAGACCCAUUCCACCAGGGAAGCAGUGUGGUGGUGAACAGCCUGAGCUGGGUUUGAAUUCAGCCCCACCACUUACCAGUUGGGUGAUCCUAACCAGUCAAUUGACAACAGUGAUAUCUCCUCCCUAAUUUGUUCCUUUUUGUUUCUUGGAGAUGGAGUCUCACUCUGUUGCCCAGGCUGGAGUGCAGUGGCAUGAUCUUGGCUCACUGCAACUUCCGCCUCCCAGGUUCAAGUGAUUCUCCUGCCUCAGCCUUCUGAGUAGCUGGGAUUACAGGCGUGCAACAUCAUGCCCAGCUAAUUUUUUUAUUUUUAGUAGAGACAGGGUUUCACUAUGUUAGCCAGGCUGGUCUUGAACUUCCUACUUCAGGUGAUCCGCCCAUCUGGGCCUCCCAAAGUGCUGGGAUUACAGGCGUGAGCCACCGUGCCCAGCCCAUUUGUUCUUUUAACAAACAUUUGUUAAACUCAUCUGUGUGCCAGGCAGUAUCCUAGACACUAGGGUCACAGUGGUGAACAGGAUGGACAAAAUCCCUGUUCUUCCUCUACUAGGGGGAGACAGACCACAAACAAAACCCUGAGUGUGGGGCGAUACUGUAGCGUGGGGCUGUGGCUACUCAGGAGAAGGUAGCGUGUGGACUGACACAUGAAAAAGUAAGCAUGGGCCAUCAAAAGAGUUUGGUGAAAGUUCCAGCAGAGGGCACAAAGGCCCUGAGGCUGGAAAGGGACUGGUGUGUCUGUGAACCAGCAGGAAGGCCAGUGUGGCUGGGGCGGGAGAGCAGGAGAGGUGAGACGAGGGGGCGAGGAGAGCAAAUCAGAGGCCCAUGCUUGGAUUUCAUUCAGGUGCCAUGAGAUUCCACCCGAGGGGAAUGAGACCUCAUGACAUGGCUUCCGAAUGAAGAAUGGACUGAGCAUGGGUGUGUGUGGGGAACCAGGAGAGGCCCUUAGGUUCCAGCAGAGCUCAAACUACCAGCUUUCCAUUGCUAAAGAACCAGCUCAGUCUCAUGGCAUUCCAGGUUCCAAGGGCCCCCCGUCUUGCUGUAUCCCCAUAUAUGUCCCCUCUACCCAGGUAGAGCCCCUCCCGUAGCCAGCACCAUCACAGCCUUACACUGUUCAUCCACCUGGGAAUGCGCCUCUCCAGGAUCCAUCUCCUAGUUGUGGGUGGGGGUGGGGGGCGGGUCCAGAACAGAAGGAGGCACCAGAGUUCUUUCUUCUCCAUGAGGGAGGGGGACAGCCCUUCCUUCCCCAGCCUGCAGGGACCUGCAGGGAUGAGCUAGCACCAGCACCAAGGCCUUGGCAGAGUCUUUGUGAGGGCACACCACUCAGCUAUCAUUUGCAAAAAGACAGGUGUGCUUCCUUCUCCAGGAAGCCUUACUUCCAGGCUCCCCUCUACUUGCUUCCUACGGUGUUAUCACAGCCCACAGGUUCUGUGUCCUACAUGCCCCUCAACCCCUACCAAUCUUCAAGGGACUCUGAACCCCCUUGUUGCUGUAUGGACCAGGGACAGGGCUGGGGUCUGGGUCCCCCUGGGGACAUCUGAGAUAACUGAGGAGUUACUAGGGAGUGCUUGUUGCUCAGGCUGGAGUGCAGUGGCGCUGUCUCUGCUCACUGCAACCUCCACCUCCCUAGUUCAAGUGAUUCUCCUGCCUCAGCCUCCUGAGAAACUAGGAUUACAGGUGUGCACCACCACGCCUGGCUAAUUUUUGUAUUUUUACAGGGUUUCGCCACAUUGGUCAGGCUGGUCUCGAACUCCUGACCUCAAGUGAUCCACCUGCCUCAGCCUCCCAAAGUGCUGGGAUUACAGGCAUGAGCCAAACACUGUGCUUAUCUGGGAGUGCCCACUUUAGCACACCAGGAAUUAGAAAUUUCUCACAUCUUCCUCCCACCCACCAGACCAGGGUCCCCCUCUAGAUGUUUCCCCACUCUGGAAUCCUCCUUCCAUCUUACCUCCUUCAGGCAGCUUCUAUGACCACCCCCCAUGACUCCGCCCUUCCCUUCCCUACAUCCCUGGGAGGGGUGCCCUGUAACACACACUCAGCCUGGCAUAGACCUGCCCGGGGGAGUGUAACUCACCAGGCCUGUGGCUUCCUUUUCACCAGCCCCCGGUGCCGCCUCCACUGGGAGUGGGGGCUGAGGUGGUAUGUCAGCUGCCGGCACAGCUUCUCCAUGGCGCCCAGUGCAUCGCCUUCCUGCAGAGGCAACCAUGGGUGGUAGGGCCCUGAGUGGCUGGGUGCACCAGUCUCAGCCCCCAGGCUUCCUGUCUCCCGGGUAAGAGCCCAGCUCCCCCAGGCUGAGCUGGGGGAGGCCCUGCUCUGCUGGCCUAGGGUGGGCACCCUAGGCAGACAGCAGUGGCUGCAAACAGAUCUGCAGGAUGGUUUUAGUUUUUGUGAAUUAGUUGCUAGCAUUGAAAAACAGAUUUAUGUAAGUCUGGAUUCCAGGAGAUCGGACAAAAGUUGGCUGGAGCCAAGUGCCUGCUGACCCCCUGGCCAAGACUCACCAUGAUCCCUGCCACUCCCCAAUGUCCAGGGCCGCUCUGUGCAUUCUCUUGCUCAGCAGAUUUAUUGAGCACUUACUCGGAGCCAGGCACUUGUUCUAGGAAGCUAGGAUAUGGCCAUGAACAAAUGUUCGUGUCCUUGUAUUUCACAUAGUAAAGGGGAAAAUGAGAUAUUUUUACCUGUGUCUCCCUCAAAAGUGAGAACAAAUGAAUGAGGAGGCCAAGUCUUUCCCAGCGCAGUUCAUUCACAUGCGUUCCUGUCAGGCCCGUUGGCAUCUGAGUUUGAAACCCUGGGUGUCAUGGGCUGAACUGUAUCCCGCUGACAAUCACAAGUUGAUGUCCUAACCCCUAGUACCUUGGAAUGCAGCUGUAUUUGGAGACAAGGCCUUUAAAGAGGUGACUAAGGUAAAAUGAGGUCAGAGGAGUAGGCCCUAAUCCUGUAUGACUGGUGUCCUAAGAAGAAGAAAUGAGGACACAGACAUGCAGAGGAACAACCACUUGAGGACACAGGAGGAGGAGGGACUGACAGACCUAGGAGAGAGCCUCAGAAGGAAACCCACCAGCCAGCCUUGGACUUCUAGCCUUCAGAGCUGUGCGAAACGAACUGUCUGCUGUUUAGACCACCAGUCUGUGAUUUUUUGUUAUGGCAGACACUGGGUUAAAUGGUGCAGCUGAAAGAUGCUACAGACUCCAACUACAUCCCUAGGAAAGUCAAUCCAACAGUCCCCGGAGCCAAACUCGUGCUGGACAGGGUGAGGGCAUGAGUCCCUCCAGGGAGUGAGGACCAAAAGCGUGCUCCUGCCAGUGGGCCAGUGCUGAGGCUUGGAUGCAAGCGCUGAGGCUUGGAUGCAAGCGCUGGACUCAGAUGCAAACCCACAUGUGGCCAACGACUCGGUGUGGGGAGGUCCGGCACGUUAACCACGCACAGUGCUCAGCAUGGUGCCUGGAGUGGGUGCUCAACAGGCUGCUUUGUCAUUACGAUUCCCACACCCCUCUGCUAGUGGACAAGCAGUGUAUUGAGUAGUGAAGAGCAAAGACCUGGGGCCAAACCGUGGGGAUUCAAGUCCUGGCUUUGUCCCGUUCUGUGUGGCCUUGGACAAUUGCUUGACUUCUCUGUGCUCCAAACCACAUCUGUGAAAGGAUUACAGUACAGACCUCACAAGAGUUUCUGUGAGGAUUAAAUGAGUCACUACUAGCGCAGUGCUUUGAAUAGAGCCCAACCCACAGCAAGCUCUCCAGGCACACUCUAAGUGAAUACCGUGAUAGCGGCACCAGCACAGAGAAUUCUGGCAGGGCAAGGAGGGAAGAUGACUUCUGCCCAGGCUCAGAUUUGAGCUCAGCUUUAUUUUAAUUUAAUUUAAUUUAUUUUUUGAGACAGUCUUGCUCUGUCACCCAGGCUGGAGUGCAAUGGCACGAUCUCGGCUCACUGCAACCUCCGCCACCUGGGUUCGAGUGAUUCUCCUGCCUCAGCCUCCCGAGUAGUUGGGAUUACAGGCACCCGCCAUCACACCUGGCUAGUUUUUGUAUUUUUAGUAGAGAUGGGGUUUCACCAUGUUGGUCAGGCUGGUCUUGAACUCCUGACCUCAAGUGAUCCACCCGCCUUGGCCUCCCAAAGUGCUGGGAUUACAGGUGUGAGCCACCGCGCCCAGGCUGAGCUCAGCUUUUAAGAGCAGAUGGGUUAGUGAUUUCAGAUGGAGAAAGAAAACGUGAGGCAUCCUUGAGUGAGGAGGAAACAGUCUGUGGCAGGGCUUGGUGAUGUGGCGGCUGUGGGGUGUGUUACUGACAUGAGGGCAGGUGAAGGCAUCUGGUCCCUCCAUGGUUCAAGCCACUGUCAGCCCUGCACACCAGACAUCACGCAAGAAGGUUAUGGAAUUCCCACAGCACCCCAAGGCAGUAGAUACUUUCGUUAUUCCCAUUAUGCAGUGGGGGAGCCUGAGGCCCAGAGGGCUGGGGAUGGGCUUGGGGCUGAUGGGAAGGCAAGAGAAGGAGACUCUGAGGAAGGGGGACAAGAGAGAGAGGAGUUGGGAAGAUGGCAGUUGAAUGUCCAAAGGAGAGAGGCAUCUGUGGAGGGACCCAGGAAGCAAAGGAGGGCCCGAGACUGAACAGAACGGAUUUGGAGGAGGCCCCUGGGCUCCAGUUCACAGCCCAUCCCCACCCCUGCCCCCAGCUUCCUGGUGCCUGGCUGUCUGAUGAAUAAGCUUGUAUCACCUGCCACUUGCACCUGUAUCACACCUGUGUGUUACACCUGUCACUCCUGUGUGUCACUCUUGUGUGUUGCAGAUGUGGGGGCAGGUGAGCAUCUGCCUUUACGGCUUCAUUCCCCACCCCUGGAGCUGACAUCUUUUGGUUCCUAGACUUAGCUUCUUGCUGAACCUGGCCACAUGACUGUGUGGAGGGAAGCAAGGCGGGUGAAGCAGGAGGAGCUGGUCAUGGGGGCUGCAGGGGAGUCCCUCAAGGGGGAUGUUCCUCAGACUGGGAGAUGGAGAGAGGGGUGGACAGGAGGUGGAGAGGAUGACUCAGGGCCAGGCUAUUGGAAGGGGCUGAGGGGACAGAGGCCACACAGCUGACUGAUAUGCUGGAUGGAGAAGGUGUGGGCAGGGAGGGUGAGGAGGGUCUAGGCUUUGGGCUUGGGACAUGAGUAGAAGGCAAGGGGCUCAAGACAAGAAGUGGGUGAGAAGGCAGGAGGGGGGUGACCUGCUCAUGUGGGGCCAUGGUAAGUUUGAGGAGCUCACAAUACCUCCAGCUGUGGAUGCCACUGGACUUAUGGGGUUGGGGCUCAAGACAGGUCCAGGCUGGACACAUUCAUCAGUAAGAUUAAACCCCUGGCCAGAGAAUGAGCUAAGCAGGAGGGAGAGAGAACAGUGGACACACAGCAGUCAGAGAAGACUCCAUCAGAGCAGCAGGAGUAGUGGAGUCUGGACACCAAGAAGAGUGACUAAUGGGGUUAGACCCCCACCCAGAGGCCACUGGGUCUCCAACAAGGAGGCCAUGGCCAGCACAAGUUCAGGGAGUGGGGCCAUGGUGGGAGCCGACCUUAGAGCUCAAAGGGAGAAUAGGGGCCAGGCACGGUGGCUCACGCCUGUUAAUCCCAGCACGUUGGGAGGCCAAGGUGGAUGGAUCACCUGAGGUCAGGAGUUCGAGAUCAGCCUGGCCAACAUGGCAAAACCCUGUCUCUACUAAGAAUACAAAAAUUAGCUGGGCGUGACGGCGGGCGCCUGUGAUCCCAGCUGCUCCGGAGUGCUGAGGCAGGAGAAUUGUUUGAACCCAGGAGGCGGAGGUUACAGUGAGCCGAGAUCGCACCACUGCACUCCAGCCUGGGUGACAGAGUGAGACUCCAUCUCAAAAAAAAAAAUAAUAAUAAUAAUAAAUAAAUAAAACAGAGAAUAGGAGGUGACACUGGAGAUGGCCCAUCUAGAGCUGUGCUUCUUUACCUUGGAAUCUUUCAUACCGGAAUCUCAGGGGAGCUUUUUUUUCUUUUUUUUGAGACGGAGUAUCGCUCUGUCGCCCAGGAUGGAGUGUAGUGGCGCGAUCUUGGCUCACUGCAAGCUCCGCCUCCCGGGUUCACGCCAUUCUCCUGCCUCAGCCUCUCCAGUAGCUGGGACUACAGGCGCCCGCCAACAUGCCCGGCUAAUUUUUUUGCAUUUUUAGUAGAGACGGGGGGUCUCACUGUGUUAGCGAGGAUGGUCUCGAUCUCCUGACCUUGUGAUCCGCCCGCCUCGGCCUCCCAUUACAGGCGUUAGCCACCGCGCCCGGCCUGGAAUCUCAGGGGAGCUUUAAAGUCCACUGAUGGGCCAGGUGCUGUGGCUCACUCUUGUAAUCCCAGCACUUUGGGAGGCUGAGGCAGGAGGAUCACUUGACCCCAGGAGUUCAAGACUACCCUGGGCAAUAUAGUGAGACUUGCUCUCAAAAAAAAAAAAAAAAAAAAAAAAAGCCCAUCAUGGUGGCAUGUGCCUGCAGUCCCAGCUACCCGGGAGGCUGAGGUAGGAGGCUCUUGAGCCCCGAAAGUGAAGGCUGCAGUGAGCCGUGAUCACACCUCUGCACUCCAGACAGGGUGAGACCUAGUCUCAAAAAACCAAACCAAACCAAACAACAACAAAAUAACACUGAUGCCUGGGCCACCCCAAUGAUGGGUGGGUGGCUCAGGCACAGGGAUUUUUUUUUUUUUCUUUUUGUUUGAGAUGGAGUCUCACUCUGUUGCCCAGGCUGGAGUGCAGUGGCGCGGUCUUGGCUCACUGCAACCUCCAUCUCCCAGGUUCAAACGAUUCUCCUGCUUCAGCCUCCCAAGUAGCUGAUUACAGACGCCUGCCACCACACCCCGCUAAUUUUUUGUAUCUUAAUAGAGAUGGGGUUUCACCAUGUUGGCCAGCCUGGUCUCGAACUCCUGACCUCGUGAUCUGCCCGCCUCAGCCUCCUAAAGUGCUGGGAUUACAGGUGUGAGCCACCCUGCCUGGCCACACGGGGAUUUUUAAAAGGUCCCCAGGUGAUUCCCUAGUGCAGCUGAGGUGGAGAAGCACUGGUUCAAAGACCAUGGGUGGGAUCAGGUGGUCUGCCCAGCAUCACUCCUGGAACCACCCCAGGACAGAAUGUAGCCAGUCUCCAAAGCUUAGAACUGAGCCCCUCAGCUGCAGCUCCUCCUUCAAUCACUUCCCAGGGUUUCCAAAAUCUGGGGCCAAAAUCCCUGUCCACCCUCUCAGCCUGGGCAGCUGAGCCUUAAAAGAAGAGAAUAGAGGCCGGGCGCGGUAGUUCACGCCUGUAAUCCCAGCACUUUGGGAGGCCGAGGCAGGCGGAUCACAAGGUCAGGAGUUCGACACCAGCCUGUCCAAUAUGGUGAAACCCCAUCUCUACUAAAAAUACAAAAAUUAGCCAGGCGUAGUCGUGGGUGCCUGUAGUCCCAGCUACUUGGGAGGCUGUGGCAGGAGAAUCGCUUGAACCCGGGAGGUGGAGGUUGCAGUGAGCCGAGAUCGCGCCACUGAACUCUGGCCUGGGCGCCAGAGUGGGACUGGUGUGGGACUCGCACACACGCACACACGCACACGCACACACGCACACGCACACACACACACACGAGAACAGAGGACAAGGGGGCAUCACUGCACUGCCAUUGCCACAAGGGGGCAGCCACGCACAGGGCCAGGCUCGGGAUGGAAGUGUAUCUGCCACUACCAGGGAGAACUGAGGAGCCUGCGUCUCCUCACUGGCUAGACAGGAACAAUAGAUAUGGACACCUCAUAGAGUUGCCUUGAGAGCACAAGUGAGCUGAUGUUCUCUCAGGAGUGAGAGUUCCCUUCUGCUUGUCUGAACUAAACUGACAACAGCUAACAUGUAUUGAGCAGCUGCGAUGCAUUGGGCAUCUCCUCUGAGCACUGUUUGCAUGAACAUUUUGGGGCUCAGAACACAAUUCCAAAGCAUGGCGCCGGGGCCAGCAGAGAGCUUUGAACUAACGGAAAUUGGAAGGCCUCAGAAGCAAAGUUUUUCUGCCCUUCUGCUGCCCUCCUGUCUCUGGCCCUUCUUCUCCCCCAGAGUGAGUCAGAGAAACCAGAAUUCUUCUUCCCCAAGGCAGGUCACAGAGACCAGAACCCCUCUCCCUCAAAGCAAGCCAUAAAACUAGGCAGGUCACUCUCUCCCUUCUGUCUUGAAGACCAUUCCAGAGGGGUAGGAAGGAACACUGCAGAGAGAGGCCAAGAAGAAUCUGAGCAGAUAGCCUUCCUGGGUCCCCUCGGCCUAUCACCAUUAGAUCACACCCUUUGUCCAAUCGCAUUUCUACAAGCUUGUGCACUCUUUACCAAGCCUGAGUAUAAAAACAGAUAGCUGGCUGAGUGUGGUGGCUCACGCCUGUAAUCCCAGCACUUUGGGAGGCCGAGGUGGGUGGAUCACCUGAGGUCAGGAGUUCGAGACUAGCCUGGCCAACACGGCGAAACUCCAUCUCUACUAAAAAUACAAAAAAUUAGCUAGGCAUGGUGGCGGGCACCUGUAGUCCCAGCUACUUGGUAGGCUGAGGCAGGAGAGUUGCUUGAACCCAGGAGGUGGAGGGUCCAGUGAGCCGAGAUCACGUCAUUGCACUCCAGCCUGGGCAACAGAGUGAGACUCUGUCAAAAAACAAACAAACAAACAGGCCAGGCGUGGUGGCUCAUGCCUGUAAUCCCAGCACUUUGGGAGGCAGAGGGGGGCGGAUCACCUGAGGUUGGGAGUUUGAGACCAGCCUGACCAACAUGGAGAAACCCCAUCUCUACUGAAAAUACAAAAUUAGCCAGGCAUGGUGGUGCAUGUCUGUAAUCCCAGCUGCUCGGAAGGCUGAGGCAGGAGAAUCGCGUGAACCCAGGAGGCAGAGGUUGAGGUGGGCCGAGAUCACGCCACUGCACUCCAGCCCGGGCAACAAGAGCAAAAUUCCGUUUUAAAAUAAAUAAAUAAAUAUAAUUAAAAUAAACAAAUUCUAACAAACAAAAAACCAAAAAAACAAAAAAACCUCUUUCCCUGGGGUUUGGGGUCUUCAUUUCUUUCUUUUUUUAAAGAGAUGGGGGUCUCACUAUAUUGGCCUUGCUGGUAUUGAAUUCCUGGACUCAUGUAAUCCUCCUGUAUCAGCCUCCCAGGUAGCUGGGGCUAAGGGUCCUCAUUUCUUUUCUUUUCUUUUCUUUUCUUUUUUUUUUUUAGUGACGGAGUCUUGCUCUGUCCCCGCCCUCAGGCUGGAGUACAGUGGCACCAUCUCAGCUCAUUGCAACCUCCGUCUCCCAGGUUCAAGUGAUUCUCCUGGCUUAGCCUCCCGAGUAGCUGGGAUUACAGGCGCGUGCCACCACGCCCAGCUAAUUUUUGUAUUUUUAGUAGAGACAGGGUUUCACUAUGUUGGCCAGGUUGGUCUUGAACUCCUGACCUCAGACGAUCCGCCUGCCUCGGCCUCCCAAAGUGCUGGUAUUACAGGUGUGAGCCACCGUGCCUCACCUGAGCGUCUUCAUUUCUGAAAGCUCCCAUGUUGCGUAAAAUUUUGAUUAAACACAUUUGUUCUGCUUUUUUGUUACCCUGUGUCUGGUUAUAGGAGUGUCAGCCAUGACCCUUAUAAUGAGUGAGGGAAAAGUACCACACAGUUCUGCCCUACAAUUUUUUUUUUUAGACGGAGUCUUGCUCUGUCGCCCGGCUGGAGUGCAGUGGCGCAAUCUCAGCUCAAUGCAACCUCCAUCUCCCAGAUUCAAGCGGUUCUCUUGCUUCAGCCUCCCGAGUAGCUGGGACUACAGGCACCCGCCAUCCAUGCCCGGCUAAUUUUUUUUGUAUUUCUAUUAGAGACGGGGUUUCACCAUGUUGGUCAGGCUGGUCUCAAAUCCUGACCUCAAGUGGUCCACCUGCCUCGACCUCCCUAAGUGCCCUACAAACUAUAGUCCCAUACCUUACUACAACCCUAUGAGACAGGUAUUAUUAAUAACCCCGCUUUACAAAUGAGGGAACUGAGGCAAAAAGAACUUAAAUAGAUGGGCAAGGCCUCCCAGCUUGUAAGACGGAGUCAGGAUCUAAAGUCAGCCAGCUCUGAGGCUGAUGCUCCUAACCGCUAUCUGCUGCCCUCCUUGUGAGAAAUCCUGUCUUUGGCUUAGGUCAGUUCAAAGUGUUUCUAUCAUUUACAACCAGAAAAGCCUUCAGUGAGACUGUCUCAUUUUUUCCCAACUCUUCCACUUUUCAAAGAACCCCUCCAGGGCUCCCUCCUGCAGAGAACAGGACUAGGCAGCACUGGCCCAGAAGUGGAGCAGUAAGAAGGUGGGGAACGGGGGGAGGGAGAGGAGGAGAAGGAGGAAGAGGAAGAGGGAGAGGAGGAGGAGGAAGGGGAGGGGGAGGAGGAGGAGUAGCAGUAGUAGGAGGAGGAGGAAGAGGAGGGAGAGGAGGAGGAAGAGGAGGGGUAGGAGGAGGAAGAGGAGGAAGGAGGAGGAAGAGGAGGAGGAAGAGGAGGAAGAAGAGGAGAAAGGAGGAGAAGAAGGAAGAGGAUCAGGAAGAGGAGGAGGAGGAAGAGGAGGAGGAAGAGAAGGAAGAGGAGGAGGAGGAAGAGGAGAAGAAGGAAGAGGAGGAGGAAGAGAAGGAAGAGGAGGAGGAAGAGAAGGAAGAGGAGGAGGAAGAGAAGAAGGAAAAGGAGGAAGAGGAGGAGGAGGAAGAGGAGCAGAAGAAGGAAGAGGAGGAGGAAGAGGAAGAAGAGGAGAAGGAGAAAGAAGAGGAGGAGGAAGAGGAAGAGGAGGAGGAAGCUGGACUUGACACUGAGACACACAUACCCUAACUCCUCCAGUGGCUGGAACCCUGAGAAGUAACCUGGGAGCCAUAGCUAGCCACAUUCCCUACCAUGCGGCAGGGGGAAGAGCAGUCUGUGCAGAGGGAACACAGAGGGAGGCAGGGUAGAGCAGCGAGGAGGGAAGGAGGGACCUCUGCACCGUGCUUAUCUAUAGUUCUAGCACCUUGGUCUAACUUGGCUGCCCGUGGGCACCACAAGACACCUCGAUAUCUGUAGAACACAUUUUCUUCCUUGCUGGAGCCAGCCCGCCUGGGCUUCUGUUAUGUGCAGCAGAAUCCUAACCCGCCCAGAAGGCUCAAUGGCUGUGUGCUGAAUCAAUGCUUUGCAGUCCUCCCCCGAUCCCUGAAGAUGGCAGGAGUGGGAUGUGGCACAGUCAAGUGACUAUGAGUGCAGGUCAGGGCAGCAGCCUCUCCAGACCUUCCCAGUGAGGCUGCCCAGGUCCUGGGGCAGAACGUGUUUGAGGGGCUUCUCAUUAAUCUGUCAGGAAAGAUGACGUGCUGACCUGCAGGCUGACCUGGGAGGGGUACCAGCACCCGACACUGCUCUGGCUCUCAGCCAUCAGGCAGUGAUACCAUCUGCCAUCUUCACUCCCCAGGCACCUCUGUAACUGCUCCAGGACCCCGACAAGCACAGCCCUCCACUGCCCUCCAUUCAAGGCUAUCCCUCCCUCAUCCAUAAAUUCAUUCAUACAUUCAUCAAAUGUUGACUGUCCCCCUCAUUACACUGGACACCAUUCCAGAUGCAGAGACUGUGUGCCGGCUUUUCUGUUUCCUCUUGCCCCACAGUCCACUCUGCCCUUCUCUGCUCAGAAGGCUGGGCUCUAGAGACUGCAUCACUGGGCUCUCUUCCCCCUGGCUUCCACUUGGGUUCAGCUAAUGGGAGCAAUGGCAGCAAGACCAGAGGGCAGGAGGAGAGACGGAUGGGGGAGUUUAUUCUGAUUCCCCCACUUCGGCAUGUGCAGCCGCCGGCCUCCAAGACAGCCUUGCUGCUCUCGGCUCCUGGCAUCUGUGCCCCUGUGUAAUGUCCUUCCACAUUGUAGCAGGGCUGGUCUAAGUGAGCAACAGAAUCAUUAGAACCAAUAGAAUGGUGGAAAUGAUGGUUUGUGACUUCUGAGACUGGGUCUUAAAAGGUAUUGUGGGGGUUGGGCUCACACCUGCAAUCCUAGUGCUUUGGGAGGCCAAGGGAGGGGGAUUGCUUGAGGCCAGGAGUUUGAGACCAGCCUUGGCAACAUAGUGAGUGCCCCGUCUCUACAAGAAAAAAAAAAACAAAAAAUUAGCUAGGCAUGGUGGUGCCUGCCUGCAGUCCCAGCUACUUGGGAAGGUGAGGUGGGAGGAUCACUUGAGCCUAGUAGUUCCAGGCUGCAGAAAGUUAUGAUCACACCUCUGCACUCCAGCCUGGGCAUCAGAGUGGGACCCUGUCUCAAAACAAACAAACAAACAAAUACAAACAACAACAACAACAAAAAAGCAAGGCCAGGCAUAGUGGCUCACACCUGUAAUCCCAGCACUUUGGAAGGCCAAGGUGGGUGGAUCACCUGAGGUCAGGAGUUUGAGACCAGGCUGGCCAACAUGGUGAAACCCCGUCUCUACUAAAAAUACAAAACAUUAGCCAGUUGUGGUGGCAGGUGCCUGUAAUCCCAAGCUACUUGGGAGGCUGAGGCAGGAGAACCGCUUAAACCCGGGAGGCAGAGGUUGCAGCGAGUCGAGAUUGCGCCAUUGCACUCCAGCCUAGGUGAUACAGCGAGACUCUGUCAAAAGAAAGAAAGAAAGAAAAGAAAGGAAAGAAAGAAAGGCAUUAUGGCUUCUAUAUUAUCACCUGUUGUGGGAUAAGCCAGCUGCCAUGAUGUGAGGACACUCAAGCAGUCCCAUGGAGAGGCUACAGGGCGAGUGUGCCGCCUUGGAAGUAGACCUGCCAACUUCUUUUUUUUUUUGAGACGGAGUUUCGCUCUUGUUGCCCAGGCUGGAGUGCAAUGGCGCGAUCUCAGCUCACGGCAACCUCCGCCUGCCGGGUUCCAGUGAUUCUCCUGCCUCAGCCUCCCGAGUAGCUGGGAUUAUAGGCAUGCGCCACCACGCCCGGCUAAUUUUGUAUUUUUAGUAGAGAUGGGGUUUCUCCAUGUUGGUCAGGCUGGUCUCGAACUUCCAACCUCAGAUGAUCCACCUGCCUCGGCCUCCCAAAGUGCUCGGUGGCCUCCCAAAGGUGUGAGCCACCGAGACUGGCAGACCUGCCAACUUCUGUUAAGCCUUCUGACACCUGCAGCCCUGACCAAUGUCUUGAGAGACCCAAAGCUAAACUACCUACUUAAGCGGCCCCUGCAAACCUGACCUACAGAGACUAUAACAAUAAAUGUCUGUUGUUUUAAGCCACUAAGUUUUGGGGUAGUUUGCUAUAUGGCAAUGGAUAAUGCAGCGUGGCUCUGGACCAGGUGUUCUCACCCUGCCUCUGGCAAUACAGCUUGUCCUCCUGUGAAACAACUUCCUACUACUGCUGUCUUUGGAUGUCUCAAUGUCCCCUGUUGACUUCCUUUAUCCUGUCCUCAACCCUUUACUAAACUCUCUUCAAACUUCACAAUGGAAUAUGUUGCCUGCUUCCUGCCUGGUGCAGGUUGGAAUUAUGAACAAGACAGACACCCUUCCCUUCAGAGUUUAUAUUCUAGUGGGGAAAACAGACAAUAAAUUAGCCAACAAAUAAAUAAGCAAGGUAAUUUCAGAGACCAGUAAGUAAAACAGAGAAACGAAUGGAAAAAUAAAUGGGGCUCGAGACAGGCUGAUCAGGAGCCUACACUAGGCAGGCUUGUCAACGAAGGCCUCUCAGAGGCCGUAGGCUCAGUCUGAACUCAGGAGAAGGCAACUCAGACAGAAGAGGCUGGAGCAGUCAAAGGGAGCAGCGACGUCCCUAAGAUAGGAGAGGGUGUGGAGGUGUCAGGAACAGAGGAGGGAGGCCCACGUGCUAGAGCAGAGCUCGCAGGGUGGCAAGUGGGAGAGGGGAGCUCAAGAGACUCAGGCAAAGCCAGAUGAGGAGUUUGGGUUUUGUUUAAACUACAGCACAGCCCCUCACUAAAGGAUGUUCAGUGAGGUCCGUGUAGUAUCCAAUUUACCUUUGGAACGAGCUCUCCGGUCUUGACACCUCUGCCUAUAAUCUCUAGACCCAUAACGUGGGCUGACAUGAACUUCUCAGAUGCAAAUUGCUCUGACCAGGAUGUCCUGGUCAGCCCUCUGGGGUGGAUGGAGGGGCUGCUCCUACCACCAGCCUGGGGACCUCCCACCCCUGCCUCAUCCAGAGAGCCUCGCUUGCCACAUGGGCACGAAAGGGGCCUUCCAGGUCUCUGGGCUUUAGCAGGGCUCACCCACUCUGGCUGGCUCUGAUUUUGUUUUGAGGAAAACAAAGUCCAGGUGUUGAAGUGGUCUGAGGAAGGUUACACCAUGCAAUGGACUGAAUGUUGGUAUCUCCCCAGAAUUCACGUGUUGAAACCUAAUCCCCAGGGUGAUGGUAUUUAGAGGUGGGGCCUUUGGGAGGUGAUUAGGCCAGGGGGGUGGAGCUCUCACAAUGGGAUUCCUGCUCCUUUGCCCAUUUCCUGCCAUGUGAGGACACAGGAAGGUGACUGUCUGUAACCCAGAAAAAGGUCCUUGCCAGUCACCAACCAGGCUGGCACCCAGAUCUCAGACUUCCAGCCUUCAGAAGUGUGAGAGAUAAAUUUCUACUGUUUGUAAGCCACCCAGUCUACGAUAAUUUGUUACAGCCACCUGAAUGGACCACAACAACCCAGGUAUGCACCCCCUGGCCCCGCCUCUACCCAGAUGGAAAGGGAAGAUCAGAAGGCAGGAGUUCCCGCCCCUCCUCCUGGCCUUGCCUGGUCCUGUCUCACAGGGUCUCACAGUGGCCCUUACCCACUCCCUGGCCUGCCUCUCUCUCUGAGAGGGUGGGUCCUUCUCCCCACACAGGCUGUCCAUGAGGCAACCUGUGAGGGGCAGGUUGGGGAGGGAGGGGAGCUCGGCUGCUCCCACCAGGCCCCUCCUCCUGCCCCCAUGGGCACUGACCACCCAGGGACCACCGGCCUGUGUCCCGCCCGGCUCUGGGUCACUGCAUAGGCCCAAAUCACACCUGUGGUUCUCCUCGGAGGUGUAACCUUGCUCAGAUCACUUGAUUACCUGAAUUUUGUUUUCCUUAACUCAAAGAUGGGCAUAUACAUAGCCCUCCUAUUUCUUUUUUGCUUUUUUGAGAGCCCCAUCGCCUUUCACCCUCUCAUCUGUGAGCAACUCCAUUGCUGCUCUAGGAAAGGCAGAGUCUGGCACCUGGCAAGGCCUCCUCACAGGCCUGACUCCCGUCCCUUCCCACCUCCCUAGGCAGAACCGGGUGGAACUGCAUGAGAAGCGACGGAGGCGCCAGCCCCAGCCAGCUCCCUGUGGCUCCUGGCACCAAUCAGGCCUCGAGGCUUCCUCAACACCAGCUUUCCUUCCCCUCCCAUUGGGCCCUGCAUCCCUGCCUUCUGCAACAUUGUGCUCCUGACCCUGGCUGGCUCCCAGCCCUCCACAGCUGGGCCCCACCUCAGAGCCUUUGCAUCAGGUAGCCCCAGAGUCAGAGAGAAGGCCCCCGACAAAGCCGCAGAUGGAGCUCAGCCCCAGGAAACACCUUUCCAGAGCAAGGCUCCAGCUCACUGUAGGACCACAGUCAAGUCUGUAUCCAGGCCGAGCGACAGGUGGGCUUGGGAACCAUCUCACUCCCGGCCUAGAUCCUACACCAAAAGGAAAAACUUCCCUCCCACACCCCUUCGUCCUGCUCUGGUUUCCUGACUGCCAGUGGGGAAGCACUUCUUUUGGAAGCCACUGGAAAUUGAGGGAUGAGACAGAAAAAAACCAAAGCAACAGAGAAGCGCUCAAGUGUGGAAAUGUCCCCAGCCGGCCCUCCCCUUCCCGCCAGGUCGGGCUGCAUAGCCCUGGGGGAGCCUAGACCUGGAGCUGCAGGAACAUGGCAGAACCUCCCAUCCAGGCAGGGCUGAGCUGCAGAUCUGGAGCCUGGAGAGCCAUGGAGCUUUCCCUUCCGAGCUCCCAGGGCCAGUAGGAAGAAGACAUGAGUGAAGGGGUGGGUGUCAAAGGACACUCAGCCUCAGAGGUGAAGACAUCUGGGAGUGGUGGGGACUGAGGCAAAGCGGACAGCCCCAUGCAGGGCCCCGGACGGCCUUCUAUGACACCUUUGUGCAAAUAAGAAAAAGUUCACCUCCAGGGAGACAAGGGCUUGCACCAGGGCUCAUGGCUUGGUGGGUAGAGAGAGGGCUGGAUUUGAACUUUCCCCUGCCUCCCCCUACCCCACUACCCCUCUGUACGCAUGCUUUCGUGCAAGGUACAACCUGUACAACUGUAUGUGGUGGCCUUGGCCCCAUAUAACAGGGAUGGCUACUUAGCUCCAGCCCUGCAGAAAUGAGGGCUUCAUGUUGCUGGAGCUUCCAGUUUUUCAAGGGCAGCUGAAUACAGGGAUCAUGUGAAAAAUUCUGGUUUUUAAAUGUUGGCAAUGAAUUCACCCCCUGGGCCAAACAAAACCAAUCUGUGCUAGUGGCACCAAGGGAGAGCACCUCAAGCUCUUGGUGCCUGGAGGACGGGCUUGUCCUCCUUGGGCCUGUCUGCCAGUCCUCCUUGGGCAUACAGCUGCUCUGCCCAGAAAGGCACCCACCGCACACCCCGGGACCUGGCUGGCUCGGACCACAGCCACCCUACCGGCUUGGGACAGUGGAUGUAGCGUGCCAGGCUGAUGAUGAGGUCGUGUGUGAUGGGGUCCACCAGGUUCCGGAAGCUGGCGUAGCGAUACAGAACGUCGUCUAGCGAGGUCGACUCCAUGCCCAGGUCCUGCAAGAGCAAAGGAUGCCCAGAGGUCAGGGCUGGCUGCCCACCCAGCUCGCCCACCAUCCCCAAGAGAAGUAGGCACAGACCCCUAGAGGCGACUCUGCCUCCCAGAGCCCCGGUGGGGAGCAUCUGCAGAACUUCCCUCAGGGGCUGGGGCAGGCCUCUCCUGUUUGUCUUUGCCUCCAAGUUGAGGAAGAGCAGGGACUGGCCUCUGCAGGCUCUGCAGUUUGUGCAGGUCCUGGCUUGUGGCCCUCUCCUAGGACAGCCCCUGACCUUUGUCUCUCUGGUUUUCCAGAGGAGGAAGCCAAGGGUGGCCUGCCUCGGUGCAAGCAGCUGCUUCUCUAUGGUGGCAAAAUUUGGAAUUAACUGCCUUGUGACAGGAUGGUUUAAUGAUAUUUAUUUGUGUUUUCUUCCUGCUUCUGACGUUGUUUUUACUGCUCCUUCUGUAGCCGAUGCAGCCUCAGUGUUCCUUUGCCUUGGGGGUUUCUGAGUGGUGGGGUUGUAAGCAGAUCCUGCCAGGCACCCAGAAGGAAACCUCAUCAGGACUCCCUCAGAAAGGUACUGAGUGGAAUCUUCCCGAUGGGAGGGGAGCAGCUUGGAGGCGAGUGCUACUAAGUGUGGUGGGGCCGCGGCAGAAACCGCUGGAGCAGAGCUUCCCUGGGUCUGAGGAAGGAAUUGGGUUUGGGGGCUCAGGACACACCACCCCAGAAUAUGGUACCCUGGCAUCUGAGGAGGCAGCUGACACAGGAAGGUCUCUCUGACUGCUGUUCUCCCCCAAAGCAGGCCCUGAAGAAUCCUGUGACCUUCAUCUAAAGUAGGUCAUGAGACCCCUGAGCUUAAAACGGAGUGAUCGGCUUUGGAGAAGUAAGGAGACAUGACGUGCCUGCCCUGGGGUGGGGACUAAACUUCGUGCCACUCCACGUGAAAGGGGGAGGUACGCCUGCUCCCUUUCCUCAAGCCCCCCCCUCCCAAUUUCUGCCAUCCUUGGGUAUGAGCUACACGACAGUCCCUGACCCUAGCUUGGUGCCCUGCACAGACCAGGCAAUGCUGACAUUCCCAUCCGGAGACUGUCCUCACACCAUCCUGGGGAACAUGAGACAUCCCUGGGUAGGGAGGCAAAGCAGGCCCACCCACUGCAGGCUGUCCUCAUUCUGGGGGCUCCCACAGCUGCCCCAGCACAGCCCAGAGAAAGGCUCCCAGCCCAGGUGGCUGGGGUCCAGUGCCCUGGGGACGGGACGUCUGGGCAGGGAAUGUGUGGGUAACCAGCUGAGUUUGCUCCUUGUCAUUUUGUUUGUAUUCUGAACUUUUAAAAUACCUUCCCCACAUGAUUCUUAGAAAUCCCUGGAAGGCACGCAGGCUGGACAUCAUCAUAUAUUCUCUACAGAUGGAGACACCAAGGCCCACGCCUUCUGUGCUGUUGGAAUUUCAGGAAGGAUGGGGGUGGGGCACGGCCUCAGCCCUGGGCAUGUUCUGCAGAUUGCACUGCUCUUAUCUGCCAGGGGGUGGUGAGAGGGUGGCUGAGCUGGACAGAUGGCGGGCAGGGACGGGCUCUGCGGUCUGGCAGCUGACAUUGAUACAAGCAAAAAAAGAGUCUUUGCUGGGGGCUCUGGAGGGCCUGGGUGUCAUGCCUGGGGGUGGGAGGAGCCUCUUGUGGGGAGCCCCUUGGAGCCCAACUGCCAGCCAGGUCCUACCUGCCGUGGUUAGGGGGCACUCUGCCCCCACCCUCAUUAACGCCUCAGUGAGGACACAAGAGGCCAGUUGUGAGGGCUGUUUUCCAUAUGGCAGGAAUGAACCUUGGAGGCGAACUGCCAGGUCCUGUGCCAGGCUCUCUGGCUGCUGAAAAAAUUUGCUGGGAACCAGGACCUGGGGGCUCAAGGUCUGUCAUGGAUGCAGUCAGGGGAGGCUUCUGAAGCACUGGCUGGUACAGGUUCUAGAGCUGCACCCCCUUGUAGAAGCAGGUACAAUACCCGCCUUUGACCUCUGGCCCUGCCCUGGCUUUUUCAAUCCCUCAGCCAGGGCUGCAUCCUGAAGCAAGCAACCUGACAAUGCUAAGCCUCAGUUUCCUCAUCUGUAAAACGGGGACAGUGACCCCAGCAUCACAAGGAGGCAAGGGGAACAAGACCAAGUGUUACAUGUAAAGCCUCUGGCAGGGAACAGAGAAAGCAGCAGUGCCCUUUCUACUACAUUUCUGCCCCCUCCUCCCUGGAAGGCCCGUCCUCACCUUCUGCAGGGGUUCUCGAUCUCCUGGACCACAGACCCAAUUGAGAAUGUGUCAAAAGCCAUGAGCUCUCUCCCUAGAAAAAUUCUGGAGUCAGGGCUGGGCGGGGACCUGAGCACACAGAGUCCACACUGGCCUCAUGGUCAGGAGGGUGUGUCAGAGCCGUGUGGACACGAGGGACCCCGGGACACAAACUAUCACCCACUAAUGUGCAAAAUCACAGCCCUGCCUCCCUGAGGCGGGAGGAAGCUGGGGACACAGGAAGGCCGAAAGUCAAAGGACUUGUGUUCUACGGUCUCAGAGGGCCUGUGUGGUCAAACGAGCUGUGGCCCAGUGCCUGGUUUGCCAGCCAGUCCCUGCCUACAGCUUGAGGCUCCCCUUCCUGGGGACAGGGAGCUGGAGAAGGAGGGCAGAUGAGGUGGAAACAGAGGGGUGGUUAUUCCCAUGGUCAGAGGCUGCACUGGUGGCCACGGGGAGGAGGCCAGAGGCAUGGAGCUAUUUUUCUUUUACACUCGGUCGAGCAGGCUGGGCUGCUCCUCUGUGGUUGGCAACUUAAUGCCAGCCUCUAUGCCUCCUCUGCUUUGCCCCUGGGCACCCCUCUCCUCUGUGAGCACCCCUGGCACCUAGUGGUCUCCCCCUUACAAUUGUCCCUGCAGUCUGUCCCUAAAUGACCCUGGGAAAUAGCACUGGAUUUUAGGCCCUGGCCAGCCCCAACUCGCUGUAAGUCUGUGGCAAGAGACUUCCCUCUUGGGAUUCAUUUCCCUAUCUGUGAAAUGGGCAGAUGAACCACACUAGUGGUUAUUAAACUGUGUUCCAAGAUCUUGAGGCUGACGGUCAGGGGCUGCGGUAGACGAGAGAGGUGAGAGGAACCAGCAGGGCUGUGGGCUGCAGCUCUUACAAAGCAGCUCCUGGUUACAAACAAAUGAACGCAGUUCUGUUCCAAAGAAAAGCUUGAAAGCCCUGGACCAGAUGACUGCCUGGGUUUCUUGUGUUCCUACCAGCCCUGCCCCAUCUUCCUGGACCCCCUACAUCUCCAAGCUAGUCUAGGCCAUCCCUGGAAGGACCAAGAAAAUCCCAGUUGCCAACCCAGGAGGUUGGGCAGGUCUGUGAAGAUGCCAAAUGUCCUUUCCGGAGCCCACUCCCCUGCCGUCUCCCCGCGCCAUCCCCCUGGUUGCCCAGCUGCUGACUGUGGCUCUGCCUCUCUGGAGCACUGUCUGGGUUCAUGUGGUUGUUGCUUAGGAGGGGAAAAGGAGUGUAGAGGCAGGAUGGGAGGGAAGGAGGAGGGUCUCCUAGAAAGGCAGCUCAGGGUCACUGUGAGUCACGGCCAACACCGGCCCGCCCUGUGAAUUCCAGCUGGGGUGGGGCUCCCCAAGGUCCCAGGGCUACAACAGGGAAAGCCAGAUAGAGGCUGGCCAAAGGCCAUGGCACACAUUAUUGCUUUAUUGCUUUAUUUCAACCCCACCUAGGCCCACAGGAUGCUUGUGCUAACUGAGGGCACUUCAUAGUCCUGAGGACCUUGGGCUACUUCCUGCCUCCUUGAUGUCCUCUCCAUCCCCCCUCCCCUAAGCCAGGCUAUUGGAGAUGAUGGUGUCACCAGCUGCUGGGACUACCCACAGGGCUGGGUGUGAGGGAGGAGAGGUCACCAGAUCCUCAGGUGUCUCAGGAGGCUGCAGCCUGGGCCACAGCCCUGGGAAUGGGCUCCUUUCAGACUCGGCACCCAUGGCCUGCCCUCCUUCUCAGGAAGACACAGAAUGGGGGUAGGCACACAAGGCCUGCUGCAUGUGCAAGGGAAGUGGAAGAAUCAGAUCCAGGUGUGGUCCCUGCAGCCCCUCCUGUGCACUGUACUAGUCUUGGAGGGGCUGGUUUGUCUUAAAAAGCACAAGGCAUUGAGGACAAUCCCAUUUUCCUCAUGAUAGGUCUAAACGGUACCACCUCUAGGAACUGUGCCUGUGGACAGUUCCUCAUCAGGAUGUCUGGGAACACCAGCAGGUGCACCUGAGUCACUGCUGGUGGGGAGUGACGCUCGGAGAGUGUGGCUGGCCUGACACCGAGUCACUCUCGGCUCCCUUUCCGAGCUGCCGGACCCAGCACACAGCAGCACACGGCAUUUCAAAGAAGGGGGCCCUACAUAACUGGAGCUUGGAUAAACAGGUCUGGGGACUCGCUGCAAUGGGAAGAGAUGAUGGGCUUGGGAAUAGGGGUGCAUGUUUCCAAAAAGUGAGUAGAGAUUUACACAGGGCAGUCAGAAUGGCAUUUCUCAAAGUGUGGUCUGUAGACUUUGGGGAAGCACCCUUAAGACCAUUUUAGGGGUGCUGUGGGGACCUCUUUUCCAAUGACAUAUCUAUGUGAUGCCAGAUUUUCUUCAUAGAUGUCAAUUAAAACAACCUGUCGCAAGACCCAGUGCAAAAGCGCAAGUCUGAUAGCCGUCUUCUAGAAAGUGAGACUAAAGAGAGUCACAAAAAUGGGGAGCAACACCACUCUCCUCACUUGGUUUUUCUUUUCCUUUGGAAAAUAUAGUUAUUUUCAUAAAAAUUUAUUUUUUCACUUGUGAACUUGUUAUUUUUUAUUUUGAGACAAGGUCUUGCUCUGUCACCCAGGCUGGAUUGCAGCGGUGCGAUCAUAGCUCGCUGCAACCUUGAACUCCUGGGCUCAAGUGAUGCUCCUGUCUCAGCCUCCAGAGUAGCUGGGACUACAAGCGUGAGGCACUGUAAGGAGCUGCUGUUAUUUUUUUUAGAUGUGAAAACAACCCUAUGAAUGUAACAGCUGGCAUUUUGCAUUCACGUGUGUGCAAGGUAAUGGCAUGGAGUGUACAUGAUCACUGCCACUCACUCGUUGAUGCCUCCCCACAGUUGGACUCACACCUUCACUCUGUAUUCCUGUGCAGUAGGGAAGUCACCCAGUACAUGUUUCCCCCCAGGAGGAAUACACAGAUGCUUUCUCUUCUGAGCUCUGGCCUCCCUGAGAAUUCCUUCAUGUUGAUGACACACCUGAAGACAACCUGGCUCAACAGAAACUCCCUGCAAAAUAUCGCAGACUUGGCUACCCUCUGACUUUCAGUCCUGCAGAUGAGAAUGAGGCUAUCUGAUUUUUGUUUCUUUAGCUGCUUGUUCGGCCCUGGCGCCUGUAGGGCUGUCCUUGCCACAAAACCCCACUGUGCCUACUGGACAGCCCUAGCACACUGUCCUCUUCCUGGGAAUAUCAGUUCAGCAUAUAGGAGGCCUCUGAAGCAACUGAUAUCUCUACAGCAACUUCUCCAAGUCACCAAAGGGACAUCUCAUUCUUGACAUCGCCCAAACUCCUAAAAUCCCUUCCCUGUAUCUUUCUUACUACUCCAACAUCCCCCACUUUCUCAUUUCCACCCUGAAAACCCAGCCAAAAUCUUUCUAAUACAAAUAAACUUAACUUCUCUGGCCAAUCCAGUUCUCAGAUCCAAAAAGCCCCGUAAAAUCCCAGAAAAUAACAAGGGUUGGCAAGAAUGUGAAGAAACUGGAAACUUUGUGCGCUGCUGGUAGGAAUGCAAAAUGGUGCAGCCACCAUGGAAAAUGGUGUGGCAGUUCCUUAAACAAAUUAAACACAGAAUUGCCAUAUGAUCCAGCAAUUCCACUCUUGGGAAUAUAUACCCCAAAGAACUGAAAGCAGGCACUCAAACAGCAGCUAUGUUUCCAGCAGCAUCAUUCACAGUAGCCAAAAGGCGAAAACAAUCCGGGUGGCCAUGAACAGAUGAAUGGGUACACGGAGUGUGGUCUAGCCACGCAACGAAAUAUUAUUCAGCCUUAAAAAGGAAGGGGAUUCCAACACAUGCUACAGCAUGGUGAACCUUGAGGACACAGGGACAAAUAAGUGAAAUAAGCCAGACACAAAAGGACAAAUACUGUCUGGUUUCACUUAUAUGAGGUAUGUAGACUAGUUAAUUCAUACAGACAGAAAGUAGAAUGGUGGGUACUACCAGGGGCUGGGGGGAAGGGAAGGAGGAGUUACUGUUUAAUGAGGACACAGUGUCCGUUUUGCAAGAUGAGAGUUCUGGAGAUCAGCUGCACAGUAAACAGUGUGAAUGUACUUAACACCACUGAGCUGUAUGCUUAAAGAUGGUUGAGAUAGUAAAUUUUAUGUUAUGUGUAUUUUACCACAAAUUUUAAAAGGGGCCAGGCCCGGUGGCUCAUGCCUGUAAUCCCGGCACUUUGGGAGGCUGAAGCAGGAGGACAGCUUGAGCCAGGGAGGUUGAGGCUGAAGUGGGCUAUGACGGUGCCACUGCACUCCAACCUGGGUGACAGAGCCAGACCCCCAGGCAGGCAAACAUAGACACCUUCUUGGGAUAGGAGGGGGCAGGGGAGGGUGCACAUUCUAUCUGGCCAUUCUUUUUCUACCCCUGACACUUGGUUAUUAAACAUUUUUGCCACCAUGUGUCUAGUGGCGGAUCUGUUUCCUUUGGAUUUACUUUCAGGUAUUGGUCUGCAAACACAGACCUUUUUUCAAGCUGUCUCUUCCUCAGGAAAACCAACACUGGCUCUGUGUCUUCUGGAUUUAUCUUUUUUGGUAUUCUGUGCAUGAUACACUUUCAUCCAGGGUUUCCAGUUUGCCUUCCAUGUCACUGAUUUCACAUCCAGCAUCACCGCUCUCACUGCCCCCAAGAAGGAUUGUAAGUCGCCUAGCAUUUCAUUUCCUUGCAAUUCUUAUUUUGCUUGUUAAUCUCCCCUUUCAUCUCAUCCUGUUGGUUUUCUUUUCCAUCACAGCUUGGCCUCUUUGGGUGGCCUUUUGUUCUUUUCCCACAAAGUUCAUUUCUUCUGGAUCGUGCUGUAGAUCAUUUUCAGAGGUCGGGGUUCAGGUUCCAGGGUAUCUAUCCUACGCUCAGGCUUCCCCCCUCCCCAGCUUGUGCACUCUCAAAGAGGCCAAGAUCUAGUGACACCCACGUCUAUCAGCGCAUCCUUGUCCCCAUGACGGCCUCCUUGGGUUGGGACUGAGUCCACCUCUCAGGGCUCUGGCUUGCAGAAGAGUCCAGCCCCAGGAUGAGUCUCAGGCACUGUGCUUAUGUGACUCUGACCUUGAGAAGGGACAUCUUCACCCACUUCAUGGCCUGAAUCUCCAACACUCACAACAGUGAAGUCCAUGGAAAUCUAUAACAAUGUCUGUAUGUUCAGGACACUUCCUGUCCUUGGGUAAGCCCACUGGCUGGCUGCACUGGACUUCUCAGAUGCCAUCUCUUCCCGCCUUGGGAGUUGCUGUCUCUGAACCGAUGCAGACAGAGGCAUGGGAGAGGAUGAAGGGAGAGGGGAGUGGAAGAGCCCUCCUUUUACCUCCAAAUUGUCACUUGCGUGGUACAGGACCAGUUGCCUGGCUUUCUGAUUGGCACAGUCCACAGACUAAGGGAGAAAGUGGCUUCCUCCCUUCCUUCCGGAGGUCUCAGAUUCCUGGGAGGAAGGCUGCAUUGUGUCUUUCUUGGCCCUGCUCCAUGUGUCUAGCAGUGAGGAGGCUCCUCUCAGACUGCCCACCUGUCUUUGUUUCCAGUGUGCUGAGUGUUUGUCUUUUUUUGGUGCAUCGUCUUAGGUGUCUUAGGGGAAAGCUAGGGGAAGCCACAGAGGAGGCCGUCAGCCAUACUCUAUUUUAAACCUCAACUCCCCCCUUCCCUCUUAAACUCAUUUUUAACCCCACUCCCAGAAGGAAGGCCCCGCGGGAAAUUAGCUUUCAUUUGUCUCUCUCCUCCAGGCAUGACUCCACAGUUUCUGCAACAACAGAGCCGGGGAAAGGAGGACGCAGCAAGCGCUGAAUAUUAACCAGCAAAGGUAGAUGCUUCAAUAUCGAAACCACCGGGACCCGCAUGUGCAAAGCUACUUAAUGAGGGUGUAAUCAAACACAGUCUACCAGAAGGAAAUUAAUUAGAGUCCGGAGAGCAAGCAGGAAGCAGAACCAGGCUGCUCCCCCUCCUGGCUCUAGAACAUCACUGGCAGCCACUGCUAAGGGAGGGACAAGGCUGGGGGAUGCCAGGCCUCAGCUGGGUGCCAGGGCUCCUGUCCUCUUCCCCGUGACAUUCCGGCUUGCCUUUGGGGGACACCCAGGGGAGGGAAGGGAAAUGUCAGGUGCUGUUAGGGAAACACAGCCUGAGGAAGCCCCCAGGGAGAGAAGCUGGGACAUCCCAGAGUUAAGGAGCUGGGCACAGAGAAGACUUGCUUCUCUAGGAAGACAAUGGUCUCAUAAGAAGAAGGACGGAAUCAUAAACAACAGAAAUGUAUUCUCUCAUAGUUUUGGAGACCAGAAAUCUGAAAUCAGGGUGUUGGCAGAGCUGCACUCCCUCUAGAGAUUCUAGGGGGAGACUUCAUUCUUUCCCCAUGUGCGACAAGGAAGGGAGGGAUGCCAGGCACAGACCUAUGCACCUAAUGAGAGAAACAGAUACAGGAUGCAGUGGGAUGAAUGGUGGCCCCCAAAAGACAUGCCCAUGCGCUUGUGCCCAGAAACUGUGAAUGUGACCUCAUUUGGAAAAAGGGUCUUCACACACAGAUUACCUUCAGGACCCUGAGAUGAGAUGAUCCUGGUUUAUCCAGGUGGGCCCUGAAUCCAAAACAAGUGUUCUUACAAGAGACACAGAGAAGGCAGCAAUGUGAAGGUGGAGGCAGAGAAGGGAGUGAUGCGGCCACAACCACCAGAAGCUGGAAGGGAGAAAGAGUGAAAUCUCCCCUGGAAUCUCUGGAUGGACACGGCCCUGCCGACACUCUCAUCUCAGACUUCUGGCCUCCAAACCAUGAGAGAAUAUGUUUCGGUUGGUCCAAGUCACUCAGCCAGUGGUCAUUGGUUACGGCAGCCCCAGGAAAUGAAUGCACCAGAUUGGAUCAGGACAGAGGUGGCAUUUUUCCCAGGGGCACACCAGGCAAAAGGGAGAAGAGAUCAAGGCAAGUGGCCGGGACCCCUCCCUUCUUCCACAGCUGCAGACCUCAGCCAAGAGCACAGCUGUGGGCAACCAAGGACGUUAUUGCCAGAAAUCAACUUGCUGUCUCCACCAGCCCUGAAGCCUCUGUGGGUACACUCUCCUUUGCUGUCUGCUCCCAGGGGCAGGGCUGUACUAGUCAGAAAUGCUUCCUAUAGGAUCCCCAAGGUGGUUCUCAGCUCAACAUGGGAAAGAACCUUUAAAAACAGGUGAUGAAGGAAAUGCUGACACUGUCCACGACAAGGAUGAGGCUUGAAGACUCCACUAAGAGAAAUAAGCUCGGAACGAGAGGACAAAUACCGCAUGAGGCCACUUACGUGAGGGACCAAGAGUAUCUAAUCAUUCAAAGUACUCAAAUUCACAGAGACAGAGGGUAAAAUGGCAGUUGCUGGGACUGGGGAAGGGGGAAUUCGUGUUGGGUGGGGACAGGGUUUCAGUUUGAGGAAGAUGAAAGAGUUCUGGAGAUGGAAGGUGGUAAUGGUUGCACAGCAAUAUGAAUGUGCUUAAUGCCACUGAACUGUGCACCUAAAAUGGUUAAAACGGUAUUUUAUAUUUGUAUAUUUUAUCGUAAUAAAAAAAUAGUGCUGAGCUCACUGUCACUGGAAGGAUACAAGCAGAGGAGAGACACUCAUCAGCCGGCACUGCUGAGGCAGGAUUUCUGGACCACAAGGAAGGUGGCCACUAAGGGUUGCCCUCUGGCCCCCUGUGACUCUUCUCAUCAGCAUGGCCCAGGAUGCAGCAUCCUGGCAUCCAAGGAGGUGCCACUAAGUAGCUACAAGAUGUGGGGCCUGGCGAGAGGAACCACAAAAGAACGCAGAAAAAAAAAGCAACAAAAAGCCAGUGACAAAGCUGCGUGGAUGGCGGAAGGCGAGCAGGAGUUUGGUGAUGCAGUUUGAAGACCGGGACUGAGACCCCCCCACUGGAGGGGUACGUGGGGUGCAAAAGCAGAAGUGGCACCAGUGGGCUUGACUGCUCCAGAGAGGGGCAUUGCUCCUCAGUGCAGCAACAAGGCGCCUUUAGCCCCCUUGUCGUUUUUGGCCCCAAAAGUGCCACAGUUACACAGGGUGGCCCUGGAGCAAAGUGAGUGCUAAUGCGCUGGGGCAUACGGAAAUCUGGUAUUUCACACAUUUGUCAUGUUAAGGAGAAUUAGGCGUAUCAGAGUAUCUAACAGAUUGGCCUUCCAAUCCCCAUUUAAAACGGGUAAUUGAGUAGCUGAUUUUAAGCUUAUGAUUUUAAGCAGAACACCGGAAGUGGAUUCAGCCAAGUUUGUAAGUUUUGAAAUGUUUCAGAGAACUAAUAGUCAUCAUAUUUAUCAGCUUAUUAAAUUUCAAGAACUAUUUAGGAACCCAGGAAAGUCCUGCUUUUUAGGAUGAGUAUUUAUAAACUUAAGAACACUGGUUAUGUUAAAUUUAUAAAGUUACAUCAAGAUAUUUAAAGAAAUUUAAUUACUUAAGUUAUAAACCCCCUACCCUUGAACAUCGACAUUUAAAUGGACUAGAUUCGUGAGGGGAAUAAUGAAAUUGGUAUGUUAAAUGCUUCAGGAAACACUAGGUUUAAAAAUUUCCACUUCAAUAUAUAUUGAAUAUUGAGAAAAUUCAAGUCGUUGUAAGUAGUCUGUGUGUGUGUGUGUGUGUGUGCGCGCGCGCCCCAAGAAUAACUAAUGACAGAUAAUGCAGAUGAGGUGGGCACCCUGCAGAGUCCAGGGCAGGGAGCAUCAGCACAGCUAGACAGGGAGGACUAUGCAGUUAAGAGCCCGAGGCACACUGCUCAGGCUUGGAAGACACCAAAGCAAAGCAGACUAGCAAAAGUAAUAAAAGCAACUGCUACAUCCCCUCCCCCUAACAAAACCACUGGACGGCAUGGGAACCCUGUUUGAAGGUGAGGCCUCCUCACAGUCCUGCUGAUGUCUAAGGUGGGCAUUGCCCGGCUCCUGGUCCCAGUCUUGGGGGUUGCCUCUCGAGGGCACCCUGGCUUGGUGCCCGCCACCCCCACAGGCCUGUGAGUUUGGUACCCAAGGAGGUGUCCAUUAGCACCCAGCUGACCGAAGUCAGCCAGAUGCUGCCAGGGAGGGCUGCUCUGCAGAGGUCUGAGCCAAGAAACUGCUGGUGGGGGGUCAUUGGCACCCACUCCCCGCUCCACCAGACUUGCCCAGCCUGUCUGAGGGAUGAGAGGUAAAGACUGGGGUUCUCUGGUCCCACCUGAGGGUCCAGGGGCAGCUCAUGACUCUCCCACCUGUCCAAGGCCACGUGGCCCCUGCAGGUUUUUGAAGCCAGGCACCCCGGCAGGCUGGCCCUCCUCGACGGUGACGAGUGUUGCCACCAGGUCUGCCUUGCCCAGCAGGAGUCAGCGGGCUGGGCAGCGAUGUUUGGCAGCUUUGCUCAGUGAGGGGCUUCAUGACUGUGUGUUGUUUGUGUUUUAACUUUGAAGUCUUAAAAAAUGACACCCUCUGUGUGAAACAGGCCUCUGGAAACAGAUGCCCAGCCGUUGCCAAGUGUAACUUAAUUAAAAUCCGAGAAACGGCUUUAGCAACAAAUAAAUAUCAAAAGGAUGCUUUCUCUUCAGAAUAAUCUAAAGUAAGUUGGGAGGCGCAUCAAGCCAUAUGAAGGGUUUUGUCUGCUCCUCCAUGGUCAUGGCUCUGCCCACACGUGGCUGACGGUGGGGGACAGACGUGGGUUAGAUCCUAAGUCACUGUGUGGCCCUGGGCAAGCCACCCUCCUACACCACAGCUUCCCCACCUACAAAUGAGAAGGUUGCACCAGCUCAUUCUUCCAGAGUUGGAGAGGGCAGCAGAAGAGGGACUUGGACCAAAUAGGUUUGGAACACAAAGAAUUCAACAAAUAACCAUUUUCCUUUUCCUGCUGGACGUUUCAGCUACUGUUUUAUGACUCCGAAAGGGUGGUGGCAUUUGCAGUAUUUCCCAGAUUUAUUUCCCAAGCACCUCCCCUGCUUCCCCAGGACCUCUUGUGGGACUCAGAUUCUGCAGUAUGCCUGGGGCCAGAUGGUCUCUGAGGUCCACAGGCCCCUACAUUCCACAAAUUCUCAGCACUUUGUCACCCAUCCCAGCGCCCUCCUAAUCUCUCUGCUUGGGAAAUUAUCUGAAUCGGUUGUUUAUACCUUCUGGCAAAUGCAUUCAAGUCCAUUUGUCCCUCUCUGCAGUACAUUCUGCCCAAGUGAAAUGAAACAUUUGGUUCAUCCUGAGGCCGGGCGCGGUGGCUCACGCCUGUAAUCCUAGCACUUUGGGAGGCCGAGGCAGGUGGAUCACGAGGUCAGGAGAUGAGACCAUCCUGGCUAACAUGGUGAAACCCCGUCUCUAUUGAAAGUACAAAAAAUUAGCCGGGCGUGGUGGUGGGCGCCUGUAGUCCCAGCUACUCGGGAGGCUGAGGCAGGAGAAUGGCGUGAACCCAGGAGGCGGAGCUUGCAGUGAGCCAAGAUUGUGCCACCGCUGCACUCCAGCCUGGGCAACGGUGCAAGACUCCGUCUCAAAAAAAAAAAAAAAAGAGAGAAACAUUUGGUUCAUCCUCAAAGGAUUUUCAGGUAAAAUGGCAAAGAGGUAGAGGAACGACUUAGAGGAUCCUUCUGGCUCCCUAACAACCUGAGUUCCAAGCAGGAGUGUCUUCAUAGGAACAGCCCAUUUCUCAGAGUGAAAAGCUGGGGGCUGGAAGGUUGUCUCAUACAGUGAGCUAGUGGCAGGGAUGGGGCGCUCCAGAGCCCCUAGAAAUUUCUGACUCUGCCUCUAUGAGCCCUUGGAAGUUAAGUAUUAGCCAGGGUUCUCUCGAGACACAGAACUGAUAAGAUGUGUGUGUGUGUGGAGAGAGAGGAAGGAAUUGAUUUAUUUUAAGGAAUUGGCUCACAUGAUUGUGGGGGCUGGCGAGUCUGAAAUCUGCAGGGCAGGCUGGGAAGCUGGGGACCCAGGAAGGAGCUGGCAGUGCUGUCUGGAGUCUGAAGGCAGAAUUUCUUCUUCCUCAGGGACCUCUCUUUUCUCUUGGAGCCUUCAACUGAUUGAAUGAGGCUCACCCAUAUUAUGGAAAGUAAUCAGCUUUUAUCCAUUUAUGCUUUUGAGACAGAGUCUCUCUGUCACCCAGGCUACAGUGUGGUGGUGUGAUCCUAGCUCACUGCAGCCUGGAACUUCUGUACUCCUGUAGUCCCGCUAUUUGGGAGGCUGAUCCUCCUGCCUCAGCCCCCUGAAUAGCUGAGACUACAGGUACGUGCUACCACACCAGCUAAUUAAAAAAAAAAAUUUUGUAGAAACGGGCUGAGCACGGUGAUUCACGACUAUAAUCCCAGCACUUUGGGAGGCUGAGGUGGGCGGAUCACCUGAGGUCCAGAGUUUGAGACCGGCCUGGUCAACAUGGUGAAACUCCCUCUCUACUAAAAAUAUAAAAAUUAGCUGGGUGUUGGCCGGGCAUGGUGGCUCAUGCCUGUAAUCCCAGCACUUUGGGAGACCGAGGUGGGUGGAUCAUGAGGUCAGGAGAUCUAGACCAUCCUGGCUAACAUGGUGAAACCCCAUCUCUACUAAAAAAUAAAAUAAAAAUUAGCUGGGUGUGAUGGCAGGUGCCUAUAGUCCCAGCUACUUGGGAG
RNAcentral lists this long non-coding RNA (35666 nucleotides) under Homo sapiens (human). Its description in RNAcentral is "HSALNT0388751". The stretch from base 700 to 770 matches the Rfam family "Small nucleolar RNA SNORD49". The record is from RNAcentral. Lineage: Eukaryota; Metazoa; Chordata; Mammalia; Primates; Hominidae.